GAUGAACGCUGGCGGCGUGCCUAAUACAUGCAAGUCGAGCGAACAGACGAGGAGCUUGCUCCUCUUACGUUAGCGGCGGACGGGUGAGUAACACGUGGAUAACCUACCUAUAAGACUGGGAUAACUUCGGGAAACCGGAGCUAAUACCGGAUAAUAUAUUGAACCGCAUGGUUCAAUAGUGAAAGACGGUUUUGCUGUCACUUAUAGAUGGAUCCGCGCCGCAUUAGCUAGUUGGUAAGGUAACGGCUUACCAAGGCAACGAUGCGUAGCCGACCUGAGAGGGUGAUCGGCCACACUGGAACUGAGACACGGUCCAGACUCCUACGGGAGGCAGCAGUAGGGAAUCUUCCGCAAUGGGCGAAAGCUUGACGGAGCAACGCCGCGUGUGUGAUGAAGGUCUUCGGAUCGUAAAACUCUGUUAUUAGGGAAGAACAAAUGUGUAAGUAACUAUGCACGUCUUGACGGUACCUAAUCAGAAAGCCACGGCUAACUACGUG
Molecule: ribosomal RNA, 497 nt
Filed under: uncultured bacterium
Lineage: Bacteria
Description: partial 16S ribosomal RNA
Rfam family: Bacterial small subunit ribosomal RNA
Source: RNAcentral